GCCCUGGUGGCACAGUGGUUAAAUGCCUGUACUGCAGACACAAGGUUGCAAGUUCAAUACCAGCCAAGGGCU
This is a non-coding RNA of Phrynosoma platyrhinos (Desert horned lizard), 72 nucleotides long. Lineage: Eukaryota; Metazoa; Chordata; Lepidosauria; Squamata; Phrynosomatidae. The record is from the annotation of a GenBank genome assembly.